GAUGAACGCUGGCGGCGUGCCUAAUACAUGCAAGUCGAGCGAACAGACGAGGAGCUUGCUCCUCUGACGUUAGCGGCGGACGGGUGAGUAACACGUGGAUAACCUACCUAUAAGACUGGGAUAACUUCGGGAAACCGGAGCUAAUACCGGAAAAUAUAUUGAACCGCAUGGUUCAAUAGUGAAAGACGGUUUUGCUGUCACUUAUAGAUGGAUCCGCGCCGCAUUAGCUAGUUGGUAAGGUAACGGCUUACCAAGGCAACGAUGGGUAGCCGACCUGAGAGGGUGAUCGGCCACACUGGAACGGAGACACGGUCCAGACUCCUACGGGAGGCAGCAGUAUGGAAUCUUCCGCAAUGGGCGAAAGCCUGGCGGAGCAACGCCGCGUGAGUGAUGAAGGUCUUCGGAUCGUAAAACUCUGUUAUUAGGGAAGAACAAAUGUGUAAGUAACUAUGCACGUCUUGACGGUACCUAAUCAGAAAGCCACGGCUAACUACGUG
Molecule: ribosomal RNA, 497 nt
Filed under: uncultured bacterium
Lineage: Bacteria
Description: partial 16S ribosomal RNA
Rfam family: Bacterial small subunit ribosomal RNA
Source: RNAcentral